GACGAACGCUGGCGGCGUGCUUAACACAUGCAAGUCGAACGGAAAGGCCCUGCUUGCCGGGUACUCGAGUGGCGAACGGGUGAGUAACACGUGGGUGAUCUGCCCUUCACUUCGGGAUAAGCCUGGGAAACGGGGUCUAAUACCGGAUAGGAGCCAGGUUUAGUGUGAUGGUUGGAAAGUUUUUUCGGUGUAGGAUGAGCUCGCGGCCUAUCAGCUUGUUGGUGGGGUAAUGGCCUACCAAGGCGGCGACGGGUAGCCGGCCUGAGAGGGUGGACGGCCACAUUGGGACUGAGAUACGGCCCAGACUCCUACGGGAGGCAGAAGUGGGGAAUAUUGCACAAUGGGCGCAAGCCGGAUGCAGAGACGCCGCGUGGGGGAUGACGGCCUUAGGGUUGUAAACGCCUUUCGCUAGGGACGAAGCUUUUUGUGACGGUACCUAGAGAAGAAGCACCGGCUAACUACGUG
This 465-nucleotide ribosomal RNA is filed under the name uncultured bacterium. RNAcentral describes it as "partial 16S ribosomal RNA". It matches the Rfam family "Bacterial small subunit ribosomal RNA", at positions 28 to 507 of the family's 1533-position model. The record is from RNAcentral.